Molecule: ribosomal RNA, 1243 nt
Filed under: metagenome
Description: bacterial LSU rRNA
Rfam family: Bacterial large subunit ribosomal RNA
Source: RNAcentral
UGAGUACGAGACGCUAAGGCGUUGAAGCAGUCUAUGUCAGACUUCCAAGAAAAGCUCGCAAUGUCAUGAACAAAAAAUGCCUGUACCAUAACCGACACAGGUGGGUAGGUAGAGUAUACUAAGGGGCGCGAGAUAACUCUCUCUAAGGAACUCGGCAAAAUGACUCCGUAACUUCGGGAGAAGGAGUGCCUUAUUUUUAUAAGGUUGCAAUAACAAGAUCCAAGCAACUGUUUACCAAAAACACAGGUCUCCGCUAAGUCGUAAGACGAUGUAUGGGGGCUGACGCCUGCCCAGUGCCAGAAGGUUAAAGAAGUUGGUUAGUUUCGGCGAAGCUGAUGACUGAAGCCCUGGUGAACGGCGGCCGUAACGAUAACGGUCCUAAGGUAGCGAAAUUCCUUGUCGGGUAAGUUCCGACCCGCACGAAAGGCGUAAUGAUUUGGAUACUGUCUCGGAGAGGGGCUCGGUGAAAUAGACUUGUCUGUGAAGAUGCGGACUACCUGCACCUGGACAGAAAGACCCUAUGAAGCUUUACUGUAACUUGAGAUUGAAAUUGGACUUUAUUUGCGCAGUAUAGGUGGGAGACGUUGAGAAUAUUCUUGCGGGAAUAUUGGAGUCAUCAGUGAGAUACCACUCUUGUAAUGUUAGAUUUCUAACUUUGUAUCAUUAUCUGGUCAAAGGACAGUUUCAGGCGGGCAGUUUGACUGGGGCGGUCGCCUCCCAAACGGUAACGGAGGCGCACAAAGGUUUCCUCUGAACGUGUAGAAAUCGUAUCUAGAGUGUAAAGGCAUAAGGAAGCUUGACUGUGAGACCUACAAGUCGAGCAGGGACGAAAGUCGGUCUUAGUGAUCUGACGGUGCUGAGUGGAAAGGCCGUCACUCAACGGAUAAAAGUUACUCUAGGAUAACAGGCUGAUCUCCCCCAAGAGUUCACAUCGACGGGGAGGUUUGGCACCUCGAUGUCGGCUCAUCGCAUCCUGGGGCGGUAGUACGUCCCAAGGGUUGGGCUGUUCGCCCAUGAAAGCGGUACGCGAGCUGGGUUCAGAACGUCGUGAGACAGUUCGGUCCAUAUCCGGUGUAGGCGUUAGAAUAUUGAGAGGAGCCUUCUUUAGUACGAGAGGACCGAGAAGGACAUACCUCUGGUGUACCAGUUAUCGUGCCAACGGUAAACGCUGGGUAGCUAUGUAUGGAGUGGAUAACCGCUGAAAGCAUCUAAGUGGGAAGCCCACCUCAAGAUAAGUAUUCCC